Molecule: non-coding RNA, 201 nt
Filed under: Bacillota bacterium
Lineage: Bacteria; Bacillati; Bacillota
Also listed under: 3 other names
Description: 6S RNA
Rfam family: 6S / SsrS RNA
About the family: E. coli 6S RNA was the first non coding RNA to be sequenced, but its function was unknown until recently. It consists of 184 nucleotides that fold into an extended hairpin structure with a large single-stranded internal bulge. The 6S RNA specifically associates with RNA polymerase holoenzyme containing the sigma70 specificity factor.
Source: RNAcentral
UUCUUUCUGCGGUGCUCGUAGCCACACUUCACCGGGUCAUUUUAAACCCACAUUAGAUAUAAGGGACGCCUAUCUCCGGCCGUGAAUUGCAGGCCUCCCGGCUUUUUGCCGGACGUUGGAAGCGCGGAAGCGAUCGGGCGGCGACCCACCUGCCGAGUCGUGCAGGUUCUAAUCUGACCCCUACGGCAUUGCGGAGGGGGC